This 909-nucleotide long non-coding RNA is filed under the name Homo sapiens (human). RNAcentral's name for it is "HSALNT0380190". Lineage: Eukaryota; Metazoa; Chordata; Mammalia; Primates; Hominidae. The record is from RNAcentral.
CCAAGGGCAUGGCAGCAGCAUCUGGUGGGGUUCUGUGCUACAUUACCCCAUGGUGGAAGGGCAGAGGGCAGAGGGCAGAAGAGGAAAGGCAGAAGAGAAAGACAGCAUGGGAGACAGCAAGAAAAUGGAGGCCAAAACUUAUCCUUUUAUCAGGAAUCCACUCCCACAAGAUUGCACAGAGUUCUUGAUAUUGAAGAGUGAACCAUGUUCAAGGAAGAAGAGAUCACCCCAUAAAACCCUUCCAGCUUGUGUUACAAUCAGAUGCCUCUAAGAUGGACAAAAAAGGCACACAGAGAUAUUCCCUACUCAGGCUCUGGUCAAAUCUCUCUCCACUUAAUGGAGCAUGGCUUUCAACUGCACCUGGAGCAUGUUUGUAAACAAUGCCAUCAGGAAUAAAAGUGUUUGAAGCUGAAGCUGGGUCUUCCAUCCAAAUGUGGAAAGCGUGCCAGAGGACUGUCUUUCCCAUUCCCGCCCCACCUGCACAGCCAUAGACAAAGCUCAGCUCCGGGAUAAGGAAUAAUGUCUACAGCUGCAGCUGCCAGAUCAAGCUGGAGUCCCUCCCUGAUCUGAUGCCAUAAAGUAGGAGCUCUCAGUCACCAUAGGAGGAAAUCACUACCUCAGGCUGCUCACUAGAACCUCUGGGAAGAAACAGAGCUCCCCACCAUAAGUCACGGCUUUGGGGUCAGAGUCUCUGGAUCCAAGCCUGGUUCUGCUACUUGAGCCUCUCUUGAGUCUCAAUUUCCUCCCUGAAUAUAGGGAUGAUAAUCCCUGUCCCAUGAGUUGCACUGGGGAAUAAAUGUGAUCAUCUAUACAGUGCACUCAACAGCGGGCAUGACCUGUGGGAAGGGUCCCAUUAGUGUCCACAUUGCCAGUUAUGCAGUGAAUAUCAUUCAUGUCUCAGCUUAUGUA